This 75-nucleotide microRNA precursor is filed under the name Mustela putorius furo (domestic ferret). RNAcentral describes it as "miRNA (ENSMPUG00000023162.1)". Lineage: Eukaryota; Metazoa; Chordata; Mammalia; Carnivora; Mustelidae. The record is from RNAcentral.
UGUGUGUGUGUGUGUACAUAUACAUGUAUAUGCAUAUACAUGUGUAUGUAUGUACAUGCACAUAUAUUUUUUCAU